Molecule: long non-coding RNA, 294 nt
Organism: Scatophagus argus
Lineage: Eukaryota; Metazoa; Chordata; Actinopteri; Scatophagidae
Exons: 3
Source: RefSeq, a predicted model, not a curated record
CGCAUUUGCCUCUUCCUCUUCCGCUUGCUUCCUGUGGCCACCGUGAUUGUGUGACGUGGUUGUUGCGGGCGUAUGAUCCUCUUCGCUCAGAGCGCGACCGGCUGCCGGGCCGUGGGGAUGUGUCGCCCCACUGGUAGUUUUUCCUGGAGAUGCUCAUCUGCCCUUUCGGUGUCGUGGGCUCCCUGUGGCCGUUAAUCCCUGGUGGUGGUGUGUUCUCCACGGUCCCCCCUUUUUUGGUUUUGUGUGUGUGUGAGUGUGUAGUUUCACGGGUGAUUCUGUCGAGGACCUCCCCCC